RNAcentral lists this ribosomal RNA (206 nucleotides) under uncultured bacterium. RNAcentral's name for it is "partial 16S ribosomal RNA". It matches the Rfam family "Bacterial small subunit ribosomal RNA", at positions 1287 to 1500 of the family's 1533-position model. The record is from RNAcentral.
CUCAGUUCGGAUCGGAGUCUGCAACCCGACUCCGUGAAGCUGGAUUCGCUAGUAAUCGCGCAUCAGCCAUGGCGCGGUGGAUACGUUCCCGGGCCUUGUACACACCGCCCGUCAAGCCAUGGGAGCCGGGAGCGCUUGAAGUGCGUCGCCGCGAGGCGCGCCCUAGAGCGAGACCGGUGACUGGGGCUAAGUCGUAACAAGGUACC